GUCCUGGUAGCUCAGUUGGAUAGAGCGAUUCUUUCCUAAAGAAUAGGCCGACAGUUCGAUCCUGUCCCAGGAUA
RNAcentral lists this transfer RNA (74 nucleotides) under Planctomycetota bacterium. RNAcentral's name for it is "tRNA-Arg". It matches the Rfam family "tRNA". Rfam says of the family: Transfer RNA (tRNA) molecules are approximately 80 nucleotides in length. Lineage: Bacteria; Pseudomonadati; Planctomycetota. The record is from RNAcentral.